CCUACGGGAGGCAGCAGUGAGGAAUAUUGGUCAAUGGACGAGAGUCUGAACCAGCCAAGUAGCGUGAAGGAUGACUGCCCUAUGGGUUGUAAACUUCUUUUAUAUGGGAAUAAAAUGUUCCACGUGUGGGAUUUUGUAUGUACCAUAUGAAUAAGGAUCGGCUAACUCCGUGCCAGCAGCCGCGGUAAUACGGAGGAUCCGAGCGUUAUCCGGAUUUAUUGGGUUUAAAGGGAGCGUAGGUGGAUUGUUAAGUCAGUUGUGAAAGUCUGCGGCUCAACCGUAAAAUUGCAGUUGAAACUGGCAGUCUUGAGUACAGUAGAGGUGGGCGGAAUUCGUGGUGUAGCGGUGAAAUGCUUAGAUAUCACGAAGAACUCCGAUUGCGAAGGCAGCUUACUGGACUGCAACUGACACUGAGGCUCGAAAGUGUGGGUAUCAAACAGGAUUAGAUACCCCAGUAGUC
RNAcentral lists this ribosomal RNA (460 nucleotides) under uncultured bacterium. RNAcentral describes it as "partial 16S ribosomal RNA". It matches the Rfam family "Bacterial small subunit ribosomal RNA", at positions 338 to 795 of the family's 1533-position model. The record is from RNAcentral.